Molecule: unclassified non-coding RNA, 335 nt
Filed under: soil metagenome
Description: partial contains 5.8S ribosomal RNA, internal transcribed spacer 2, and large subunit ribosomal RNA
Rfam family: 5.8S ribosomal RNA (bases 1-120)
Source: RNAcentral
GAUGAAGAACGCAGCGAAAUGCGAUAAGUAAUGUGAAUUGCAGAAUUCAGUGAAUCAUCGAAUCUUUGAACGCACAUUGCGCCCGCCAGUAUUCUGGCGGGCAUGCCUGUUCGAGCGUCAUUUCAACCAUCAAGCCCCCGGCUUGUGUUGGGGACCUGCGGCUGCCGCAGGCCCUGAAAACCAGUGGCGGGCUCGCUAGUCACUCCGAGCGUAGUAAUACAACUCGCUCAGGGCGUGCUGCGGGUUCCGGCCGUUAAAAAGCCUUAUUUACCCAAGGUUGACCUCGGAUCAGGUAGGAAGACCCGCUGAACUUAAGCAUAUCAAUAAGCGGAGGA